RNAcentral lists this ribosomal RNA (207 nucleotides) under uncultured bacterium. Its description in RNAcentral is "partial 16S ribosomal RNA". It matches the Rfam family "Bacterial small subunit ribosomal RNA", at positions 568 to 774 of the family's 1533-position model. The record is from RNAcentral.
CGUGUAGGCGGCCAGACAGGUCAGCUGUGAAAACUCGAGGCUCAACCUCGAGACGUCGGUUGAAACCGUUUGGCUAGAGUCCGGAAGAGGAGAGUGGAAUUCCCGGUGUAGCGGUGAAAUGCGCAGAUAUCGGGAAGAACACCCGUGGCGAAGGCGGCUCUCUGGGACGGUACUGACGCUGAGACGCGAAAGCGUGGGGAGCGAACA